RNAcentral lists this ribosomal RNA (429 nucleotides) under uncultured bacterium. RNAcentral describes it as "bacterial SSU rRNA". It matches the Rfam family "Bacterial small subunit ribosomal RNA", at positions 355 to 775 of the family's 1533-position model. The record is from RNAcentral.
UGGGGAGUAUUGGGCAAUGGGCGAAAGCCUGACCCAGCGACGCCGCGUGGGUGAUGAAGGCCUUCGGGUUGUAAAGCCCUUUCGUGCGGAAAGAACAGUCCCGUGGUUAAUACCCGCGGGAUUUGACGGUACCGCAGGAAGAAGCACCGGCUAACUCCGUGCCAGCAGCCGCGGUAAUACGGAGGGUGCAAGCGUUGUUCGGAAUUACUGGGCGUAAAGGGCGCGUAGGCGGUAAUGUAAGUCAGAUGUGAAAUCCUUCGGCUUAACCGGAGAACUGCAUCUGAAACUGCAUAACUAGAGUACAGAAGAGGGAAACGGAGUUCCCGGUGUAGAGGUGAAAUUCGUAGAUAUCGGGAGGAACACCAGUGGCGAAGGCGGUUUCCUGGUCUGAUACUGACGCUGAGGCGCGAAAGCGUGGGGAGCAAACAG